This is a long non-coding RNA of Varanus komodoensis (Komodo dragon), 6185 nucleotides long. RefSeq lists it as uncharacterized. The record is from RefSeq and is a predicted model, not a curated record. The transcript is spliced from 2 exons. NCBI's taxonomy places the organism in Eukaryota, Metazoa, Chordata, Lepidosauria, Squamata, Varanidae.
GUCCAGUUCUCACUGUUGCUUCUUGACCCACAAUAGGUUUCUCAAGAGACAAAUAAGAUGGUCUGGUACUCCCAUCUCUUUAAGAACUUGCCCCAAUUUGUUGUGUGCUACCCCCAGAAAACCCUUGGGUAAAGACACCCUGAAUCUGCUCCUGCCCUCAGUAACUCUGCCUCCUUUCUCAUCACUGCUGCCUCGUGCUAGCUAGAUAGUUGGGGAGCAAGUAGGCUGUGUGUCUGCUGUUGUUGUUCUUGACACCACUUUGCUCUGGACCAGAAGAAGAGACAGAUGAACGAGCAGGUUUCAGUGCUGAAGCAGAGAAGCUAGUCUAGGGAACUGUUCCAUGGUGCCACUCUUUUGUUUGUUUUAUUUAUUUUAUUUAAGCAUUUAUAUACUGUUCAUAAGCUCUCAGAACUGUGUACAAGAAUCAGAAUGGUGUACACUUUUGAAGCAUGGGUCUUCAGGAGGUGGCCAGCCUUGCUUACCUGGACACUAUGCAGGUGCACAAAGGGAUGCUAGGCACACUAUUCUUCAACUCAGUCCAGCUAGGAGUACAUAACACAUACACACCUAACGCCGACCCUUUGGAAAAAGCUGAGAACUUGCCAUUCAUCUGUUCAAGAGAAGGACUGAAUUUAGCUCCUCUGCUUUUCUUUUGCCAGCAAGCACCAGUUGCUGGGAACUAAUAGGGCUAUGCAUUUUCUGUCUUCACUAAGCAUGAAAAUUGUUUAUCUACAAUGAAAAUGUCCAUGGAACAUUUAAAUUACAGCUUAAGAAAUUGGAUAGUCCCAGUAAUCUGAAAAAAGCUGACCCAGUAACUCAAUAAAGGAAACAAACAUUUAACAUGCAUAACCACAGUGUGCCCUAUAUAAAUAUAUAGACUUCAUUUGGUCAUAUAAAUGCAGUUUAACCCUUUCUUCCAUCUAGCACCAUCCUAACAGAAAUCUCCUCUCCCUGUGGCUGCUAUGAACUCUGGAAGCAAAGUUGGUAAUAACAGUCAUGGCUGGGGAUAGUUUUUUGUCAUGGCAGGAAAAGAAGGGGGGAAAGUUUCACAUCCCCAAGUAAACCCAGGUUCAAUAUGUACAUGUUUUACAUUGGGUUUGUUUGUUUGUUUGAUUCCCAGAGGGAUGGUGGAAAUUAUUAGCAGGUAAAUUUUUGUCGUCGUCAUCAUCAUUAUUUGGUAUCCCAGCAUAUUUGUAAUUUUUCUGGGCUCUGUAUUGUCUCUUUGCAUGUUUUUAUGUCCUUCAUAGCACAAUGGAAUAGCCACAGAUUUGAGGUUGAAACUACAUAUUAUUUGGAAUUAUUUUUCUGUUCUGAAUUUGAUUUGGACAGCAGUGCUAGGUAAAAAGUGCAUUGUUCUCCAAAUCCCAUGGUAUCACUUUCUUGAUUCAAAUCACUUCCUGAAGCUGCUUAAGACCUGGUAUGCGUCUUCAGGGUACAGCUUGUUUUGCAGUCCGAACCCUGGUCAUGUGGUUUGUUGGAGGGAGAAACAUCCAAAUGGCAGUGGAGGGGGCACCUGGGCAUGGACUCUGGAUCUUUUUUGAGCUAUGUACAAUUGCUAUCAUCAGCCUUAAAAUAAGCCUGCUUCUUCCCCCUGAACUCGAUAGGCAUGCAGUUAAAAAGAGAGCAUAAAACUUGUUCUCUUGGCAGACUAGUAGAGAGUGUAACAUGUAGGCAUGUUGUGACUGAAGCUGGGGGUGAGACUAGAUGGCCCGUGAGGCCCCUUCUGACUUGCUCUGUUUCUAUGUUUCUAUGUAACAUGAGGACACCAGGCUUUUAGACUGGUUCCUAGCCAGCUUGGGGAAAAACAAGUGGGUUUGCUUGUAAAAAAGGAUUGAAAGAGCAGCAGUGUUUGAAUUUGGGUCAAGGUAAUAUAUGAGUAUGUAGCCAGGGGAGGACCAGGUUCACUAGGUUUGGGUAAUAUUAUGCAUCUUGACUGGGGGCGGAGGGCACUAUUUGCUGCUCUGACUCGGGAAGCAAAAUGUCUUGGAGUCAACCCUGAAUAUGGCUAUAGAGGUGGGGAAAAGGAAGCUGAGGAAGUUACAUGCAGUUCAGAAACAACAGGAUUACAAAGAAAUCUGGAUAGGAAAACAUGUUAAGGAUUACAUCAAACUUGUGUAACCUGCACAUGUUUACUCAAUAAGUAACUUAUAUUGAGUUCAAUGGGAUUUACUCCUAGAUAAUUCUAUGAAGAAUUAUUCCUUGGUAAUUGUGCUCAGUGCUGCAAGCUGACUUGUCCUCCUUUAAGUCCAUUCCAAUAUCUGGAGUUAGGGAGAAACCUGAGAAUUGAUAACUCUGGCAAGUUAAAGAACAGCCAACCUAGCCAAAAGUAGCCAUGCUGGUCCAUGAGAAAUAAAAACCCAAAAUCCACAAUUGGGUAAUCUUUGCUAGUCCCAGGCAUUCUGGGCUCCCCAUCUGGACUAGGGCUUGAAAGACCAAGGAAAAGGGCCAGUGCAUUGAGGGUCAGUUUCCAGAAAGCACAAUUUAGGCCAUUGCACAGUUCUGUCCUGAAUGCAAGCAAUAGGUCAAUUAGCUUCCCUGCUAGCAAUUGAAAUUAAAUUAUAGCAAUGAUUUCUAAGGGUGCACAUAUAUUUGCAAUAUGCAUUGACCUGUGCAUGUUUGCUGCUUUUUGUUUUAUGGGCCCUGAGCCUUGGGUUUUCUAGGUGUCUAGCACAGUCCUUGGGAACAAACAGCCAAUAAGCCUGGAACUGCCAAUGGAUAACUAUGCUGUCUGGGUUUCAAUGAAUGACAAGCUAUGGCCUAAUGCUGAUUAUGGAGAUUACAACCCUGCCAUCACACCACAAUCAGCUCUAAAGGCAGAUGCAGGUCCAUUCAGUAGCCAUCACAAGACCUUCAGAGCCUUACCUGAAUAGCUGUAGAGCCCUUUGGCUUGACCUAAUAAAGGUAUUAGACUAAGAAGACUUUGGCAACUCGCUUUUUUGUUGACCCUGUAAGUAUCUCUGAAAUUGAGAGGGCAAAUCUUUAGCUACGUAUCACUGUGCAACUCAGAAAAGACAUGACAAAUAAAGCAUUUAUAAGUGUGAUGAGACCUUAGGGAACAAUUUUGCACUUUCACGCUAUAGCAGAGAGAGCGCAUCUGUAAGAGCAGGGACCUGGGCUUCUGCCUUGCGUAUCAUGUCAUGUAGUCACUGGUGAGCACCGCAACAAUGAAAUUGUUCCAUCGCUGAAUGACUACCUGAAUCUACUUCCUUUUCUGGAAAGCCAAAAUGGUGAGGGCAAGUAGAGCAACUCAGCUGGGUUACUCGACGACUAUCCAUUAUCCUCAGUUGAUCUUUCAGUGGGAAAAAAAUGGAUAAUUUCUCUAAUCAAAAAACACCAUGCUUUGAAGAAACCAUUGUGCGAGGAUUUGUUGUUGCUAAAUUUGCAGGCAAUAUACAGGCAAUUCAGCCCAGCACAGCUAAGUUGAAAGGUUUUAUCCAUGCUUCAGUUUCCAUUCACUCAUUCAAACAGGGAUGUCUUGGCUUUCCCAAAAAGGUGGUAGCGAUCACAUGUAGCGGGAUUGGUGAGCAGCAUGAACAUUGGCUCAGCGAUGAAGCCCAAGUUUUGUGUGAGGCCGAUCUCCAACAUCUGCAGGCAAUGUGAGUGUGCGUGUGGGAAUUCUUACCAAUCACUGCUUGGAUGAACCAAUGGCCUCCCAAGCUCAUCAAACAAUGACUGUUGUGCAAACCUCAUAAGAGUUAGUACUUCCUCCUUAUGGGGCAUUAUUUCCCCAUACAUACAUAAUACAAUGCAGCCAUGAGCAAAGGUUCUUUGGUUGUAGCUUUGGUUGAAAUACAUCAUACCACUUUUAUGAGACAGAUAUAAUAUUCCCUUCAGGUUAUAUGUGUGAGCAGGUGUUUUAGUAUAAUUAUAGCAAGUCCUUCCUCUGCUUUUGAAAAGGCUGCUGUAACCUAGCCAGAGUUCAUUUCCUCCUUCAUGUGUUGAAAGCAGCCAUCAAUUUGUCAUUCAUAGUCUAAUGACUCAUGAAAGUUUCAUUUGCCUACGUGCCACAGAAGAAUAGAUGGAGGCAACCUUUCCGUGACUUCUUGUAAUUCAUGGUGGGUGUGUGCAUGUGUAAAUAAAAAUGCAAAACGUCUUAUUCUGUGAUUAUAGUUACAGCUAUAUUUUGUUGCAUUUUAUUCACUCUAACUUGGACCCAGCCCACAUAAAUGCAUCAAGGGCCAAUGUGGAUACCUCGGUGGGGUACCUGGACCUGACAAAACCAAAACACUUUAUUGACUCUAAACUGUCAUAUGCUGUGAAAUGGAAACACUUAAGUGGGCAGCAAAAAGACAACUGCAGGACUUUGACUUAUGCUCAUUCAUAAUUGUCCUUCAUUCCAGACCACUUGACUCAGCCAGGCUCAGAUCUAGCAUUUCCACAGCUUCACCUGAUGAGGAUGAAAAUGAGAAAUAGAGCUGUGCAUCAUCAGCAGAUUGAUGGCAACACAUGAUCUAAAACUGUAGAUAGUCCCCUUCGACUGUUUCAGGUAGAUUUUACGGACUGGGAACCAGUGGGAUAGAGUGGAAUGGGACACAGAUUAGUUGGUUCUAGACCCCAUUUGGCCAUGUAGCUCAGUGGGUGACUCUGGGCCACCUACUGCUCAUGGUUUGUUUUGAAGAUAAAAUAAGUGGAUUAAGCUAUCAUGGAUUUCUUGCAGGAAAAUGCUUGCUUGGCAAAUUGCACCUGCUGCAAUGCUCUCUUUUGCACUAGUAUUACCGGUACAGGAGUGUGGUCCUUUUUUUCCCUGGCUAUCCAUGCUUAGUGGUGUAGCUAGAGUUGGAUUUGGAGGCUGAGGUUGAGGGGGGUUUCAGACAACCAUUCCAAAAGUAGUAGAUGAUGAAGCAGGGCACAAACCUGGCAUGACACCACCAGACUGGCACCACCUACCACAGCAUUGGUCUUCCUCUUCCUCCACACCUGGCAGCCAGGUGGGUAAGUGAUUACAGAAGCUCAUCUUGUUUUUAGUUUCAAUAUCUAUUAUCAUUUUCUAUAAUGAGACUGGUUAUGCCCCAGUAAAUAUGCUCAGCAUAAGGACAGCAGAAGCUCCCCUGUAUUCCUGGAAUGAGUUGCAAGUGCGGAACUUCAUAUGCUUAGAUUCUUUCUGUCUUCUUUUCAAAUCAAAGUUGGUAGACAGGCAUAGAAACAGUUGUAAAAACAGUUGUAAAACAUGGAAUGGCAGCCAUGAUGGAAAUAAGAGGAAUUUUAAUUGCAUUUGCCAUGACUUAUUGCCCAUUAUAGACUUUUAAAUCCAGAUCUUAAAAUCAGCUGGGUACACCAUUGCCCAUGCUUAAGUUUUAAACCUCACACACACGCUCCAUUGCCUACAGUGUGCUGUUCUGUUAAUACAGGAGGACUGUAAUACAUGCAGAAGCUGCUACAGGCAAAACAUCUUGAAAAAGUAAAUGUAAUUUAGCACCUGAUAAAUCCCAAGCAAAACACCUGAUAAAUCCCAAGCAAAACACUCCACCCAGAAGGCUUUCAUGAGGAUGCUUUCAACAAUGUGACUCAAGUGACAUCGUUCUAAGUCAAUUCUGAUUUACAUUGGUUUGAAAGUUGGGUGGUUGUGGGAAGAUCUUGCAUCGCAGCUUGAAAUAUAGUGUUUGGAAGGUACUCAUUUUUAACAGUUUGUGGAAUUCACUUAACAAUGAAAGCUGCCCAAAUACUGUUUCAUCACAGUACUUGCAUGUUGGUACUUUAGCAGCAGCAUUUCGGGUUCUGUUUGAGAUAAUCUAUGGAAAAUGCAAACUGGUUUUGAAAACUAAGCCUAGAUGUGUGUUACAGAGCUGUCAAGAGAGUUGUUAUAGUUGAGCAGCAUUUUUCAGCCUUUUUUCAAUGUAAAACUCACCCCCUCUCUCUCCCCUUUUCUCUCUUUCUCUCUCCGUGUUUGUGUGUGCGUAAACACCCUAAGACAUUUGGCAGGAUAAUCUGCACAAUGUGGCAUAUAAUCAAUAUUUUUAAAAUAUUGAUGAUGGAUGUCUGAAUCAUAAUAGUUUUAAAGUUUUGCUCUGAAAGGCAAAUGUUUCCACUGUUUCUUUCUUCCCAUGAUGUCUUAGAUAUCUUCAUUGAGAAGUUUAGGUCACAUCAAACAUUCAAGGACAUUGGAAGGGUAUGCAUUUAGUUGGGUUGGGUGAAAACCCAGACAUCGUCAUAUAUAGUGUGCACACAAUAAAUAUUAUGAAAUUUCA